UACGUAGGGUCCGAGCGUUAAUCGGAAUUACUGGGCGUAAAGCGUGCGCAGGCGGUUUUGUAAGCCAGUCGUGAAAUCCCCGGGCUUAACCUGGGAAUGGCGAUUGGGACUGCAAGGCUCGAGUGCGGCAGAGGGGGGUGGAAUUCCACGUGUAGCAGUGAAAUGCGUAGAUAUGUGGAGGAACAUCAAUGGCGAAGGCAGCCCCCUGGGUCGACACUGACGCUCAUGCACGAAAGCGUGGGGAGCAAACAGG
This 253-nucleotide ribosomal RNA is filed under the name uncultured bacterium. Its description in RNAcentral is "partial 16S ribosomal RNA". It matches the Rfam family "Bacterial small subunit ribosomal RNA", at positions 524 to 776 of the family's 1533-position model. The record is from RNAcentral.